This 72-nucleotide transfer RNA is filed under the name Collariella sp. IMI 366227. RNAcentral's name for it is "tRNA-Gly". It matches the Rfam family "tRNA". From Rfam's summary of the family: Transfer RNA (tRNA) molecules are approximately 80 nucleotides in length. Their secondary structure includes four short double-helical elements and three loops (D, anti-codon, and T loops). Further hydrogen bonds mediate the characteristic L-shaped molecular structure. tRNAs have two regions of fundamental functional importance: the anti-codon, which is responsible for specific mRNA codon recognition, and the 3' end, to which the tRNAs corresponding amino acid is attached (by aminoacyl-tRNA synthetases). tRNAs cope with the degeneracy of the genetic code in two manners: having more than one tRNA (with a specific anti-codon) for a particular amino acid; and 'wobble' base-pairing, i.e. permitting non-standard base-pairing at the 3rd anti-codon position. The record is from RNAcentral. Lineage: Eukaryota; Fungi; Ascomycota; Sordariomycetes; Sordariales; Chaetomiaceae.
GCGGCCUUGGUGUAGUGGUUAGCAUUAUUGCCUUCCAAGCAAUAGAGGGGGGUUCGAUUCCCCCAGGUCGCA